Molecule: ribosomal RNA, 433 nt
Filed under: uncultured bacterium
Lineage: Bacteria
Description: partial 16S ribosomal RNA
Rfam family: Bacterial small subunit ribosomal RNA
Source: RNAcentral
AACGAACGCUGGCAGCAUGCCUAACACAUGCAAGUCGAACGAGACCUUCGGGUCUAGUGGCGCACGGGUGCGUAACGCGUGGGAACCUGCCCUUAGGUUCGGAAUAACUCCCCGAAAGGGGUGCUAAUACCGGAUAAUGUCUUCGGACCAAAGAUUUAUCGCCUUUGGAUGGGCCCGCGUUGGAUUAGCUAGUUGGUAGGGUAAAAGCCUACCAAGGCGACGAUCCAUAGCUGGUCUGAGAGGAUGAUCAGCCACACUGGGACUGAGACACGGCCCAGACUCCUACGGGAGGCAGCAGUGGGGAAUAUUGGACAAUGGGCGAAAGCCUGAUACAGCAAUGCCGCGUGAGUGAUGAAGGCCUUAGGGUUGUAAAGCUCUUUUACCCGGGAUGAUAAUGACAGUACCGGGAGAAUAAGCUCCGGCUAACUCCGUG